AAUUAUUCAAAUAUUGGCAAGAUAUUUAAAAGUAUUAAACACAAUAAUGAACACUCAGCCAUGAAAUAAUAAACUAAAAAUAACAUAGAUUUAUGGAAUUAAAUCUUCAUAAUUAGGCUACAUCGUAGCCCUAGCAAAAUAAAUUAGUUCAUGGGAAUAUAAAGAGAAUCUAUCAAUUUAAUUGGGAACAUUCAAGCAAGACCAUUGAGAAGAGGAAAAGAAAAACUCAAGAAUUAAACUCAGCUCUUGCUCUAGAUCUCUUGCGGCUGCUGCUUCUUUUCUCUUCUUUCUUGCUCUCGGUUUUCUUUCUCUUGGCUUGUCAAUUUGUGCGGCUGCUAUUGUCUUCUUAAUUCCCCUAAUGUUACCGCAAGUCUAUGCUUUUAUAGUAGCUUUAAUUCUGCACCCUAAAAUCUUCACAUGGAAAGGAUUAAAAACAAAAGCCAAGCCGCCACUCAUGCACGUGAAGCCAACGUGAAUCAAAGGCCAAUCCUUAUGUCAUUAUGCACGUGACUUGUACAAAUAGCCAAUAAAUCUAUAAAAUUAUUUGGCAAUAAAUCUAAUAAUUUCUCCGUUAAUCAUUAUUCUUUCCUCUCACAAUCUGUAAUUAUCUCCAUUAAACUCCAAUUUGUUUCCUCUUUUCGCUUCCUUUCACUUAAAUAUUCCCAAUAUUUCUACAAUGACAAAAUAUAAAAAUUAAGAUGAAAAUUAAUAUAAUAAAAUAUAAUUUAACAUAAAAUUAAGUUAUGAAAAUAUAAAAAUAAUAAAUAAAUUACUAGCACAUCAUAGAGCCUUCUCAUAUAGGCAUCGUGAAGAUGAAUUUUAUAUCCCGUGAACAUACCCCUAAAAUAUUUGUAGGAAUCUCACCCUUUCUUAUUUGAUAUCUUGACUUAUCAUUUUCUGACACACAGACUUUAAUAUAAGUUUCAUCCAUUACCCUUAAGUAAUUCUAUAUAUAUAAAACAAAUGAAAAAUUUAUUAGCAUUAAACUAUCACUAGCUAUAAUCAAAUAAAAGCAAAUUAAUAUUAUACGUUAAACCACUUCUAUCUCUCACCAGUAUAAUUCUUUGUUAUAGGUACUGGCGCCCUUAGUAAAACAUGGUGUAGUCAUAACACUCCUUUUGACACUGAGUUAAAGUAUCUACUAAUAAUCUUGCCAGAUCUAAAAACCUACUUCCAAUCAUGCAAUCUUUCGACAUGAUGAGACAAAGAGUGAAGGAACAUGCAAACUUGCUCUUCAGUCUUUACUAAACCAUUAGCCUUUAUCCCCAUUCAAUUGAAAUAGCUCACACAACAUACUAAAUGUCUUUCUAUCCAUUCUUAGUUUAUUCACACAUUAUAUGUCACUAUUGCUUAUAAUGCUAUUUAAGUAUUGCAAUCGAGUGCCAUGAUUUUGGAAUGUAUGAUUAAGAAUCAUUUUUCUUUAAUUAUGCCUUUGGAUCAACAUUAUUAACAAAAAAAAAAAAAUUCACAAUGAACAUGAACCUCAAUUUUAUUUGCCACGUGACAAAAUAAAAUUUUCUUCUCAUAUCCAUAUCUAAAUAAGAAGAAAAAUGUAAAAAAAAAAAAGAAAAAAAGGUCAGCUUGUUUUUUUCACUAAUAUUUUGUUGCAUUGUUAGAUUUUAUGAGUAUUGAGAACAAAAUAAUCAAUAUUAAAAAAACUACUAGAGAAAUAUAAAGCAAAAAAAAAAAAGAAAUAUAAACAAAGCAGGAAGAGGAGAACCAAAAAAGAAAAAAAGUAUCAGUAAUGAGAUGACCUAAGCAGCUAAGGUUUGAAGAAACGUCCAAUGGCUCCUCCAAGCUCAUCUUUAGUCACAAGUGUAGAAGUUCCUUGAAAACAACAAUAAUAGUUACUCAAGCAUGUUAAAAGUUUUCAAAAGUAUUUACAAUUUAACAUGAGCUGAGAUUAAGAAUUCUACCACAUUUUUUUUUUAAAAGGAUGUCUUAAUGUCAUCAACACAAUAAUAUGACAGCCAAAUAUGCUCUCUGUUUAGCCACUUGGCCCAAUGCCUUCAAGUCUAUUUUAUUCAAAAACAAAAUAAUGAAGAAUUAAACGGCUUGCAAUCUUGUUCUUUUACUCUUGUUCUUGUUCUAUAUCUAUCAUUAUAUUAUUUUAUAAUUAUAAACAAGUUCAACAAAAUCAUAUAUCAAUCUUGAUGCAUAGUUUAACCAAACAAAAAAAAAAAAAACUAGAAGUUAGUGGAGUUAAUCUUGGCUCGCUUCAACAUCAACGCAAAGUGAAAACCAAAUAAAGGAGUAUGUAUAGUUGUGAACGAGAAAAUUUAGUUAGGCCAGGAUGGUGUUCACAUUGUUGUUUUCAAGUGGUUUUUCUUUAUCUAUCACUUGAAUAAUAUUUUGUUUUCAUGCAAUGAUGCAAAGAUUUUAUGUGAAUAGUGAGUCUAUGCAUAACCAAACCUGUUAUGCGAGUAUAUUCAAACAAAUUCUGCUCAAAACCUAACUCGAUUGAUUUAGAAUUUUUUUAACCAAAUAUGAACUGAACUAUAUAUGGAACUGAAUUGUUUUAAUUCGAUUCAGUUCGAUUUUAUAUGAUUUGGUUUAAGAACUUCAAUAUUUUUUUUCUUAGCCAAAAUGUUAGACUUUUCACCUAAAUUUGAUCAUUUUAUUAGUGUAAUUCAAUUGUAAUCACUUUCCAUUUUAUGUUUUCUAUAUCUUGUUUAAGCGUUGACCAAAUUAUAGAAAUAGUAUCAUGCGUUUGAUACAAAUCAUUUACAUCACAUACACAACAAAAUCAAAAUUCAUGAAGAAAUGAUGGCCAUAGAAAAAAAGGAUUCCAAAACAAAACCAAUAAAUAAGGCAUGCAAAACAAUAGAUGCUACAACUAAUAUAAAUCACCUACAUGACUUGGAGGGAUAUGCUUCCACUUGGCAAAUCUCUCAGGGAUGACCCUUCCUACAACACGCAAAUCAUGGCAAUGACUGAAAGCACAAGUAUAUGCAUAAAAGACAAACAGUUAUUAGUUUAGUACUUUUACUAACUCAAAUACAAUAGACGAAAAUUUGAUUUUAUUACUAAUUAGUAUCCCACGAGAAAUCCAAAACAACUAACACAAAGCAUUUUGAACUAGUUUAUGAACAAUGAUAUCGAUAUCCUAUCUCUAAGAUCCUAUCAAUCUUUUUUCCCCCCCUAAAACUUACUUAGAUAUUUUGCCAAUCAAUUUAUCCCACUCAACCAACCAUUUUACAGUAGCUGGCCAUUUUGAAUGGGGUCUCUAGUAAACUACACUACCUGAAUAAUUUAUUUUGAUUAAGAGUUUUGAUGUAUGAAAUGUGAUUAUUGUAUCUUAAUUGCUUUCUUUAUUGUCUUUAACUCUUUGCUUCCAGGGCUUAAAUACUUCCCGAGAAUCUUAAACUUCACAAUCAAAGUGAUAUCAUAUGCUUAGUUCCAAUAAUCUAGUAGCUAUAUAUAGUUCCUUUCUUUAACUAAAUUUGCACCCUUCUCUCAUCCUCAAUCAAAGAAAAAAAUUUGAACUUUUUCUGAGAAACUCGUGAAAAAAAUAGAACAAGUAGCUUUGUUAAAAAAAAAUCUAUUAAAAUAAAUAACAAAUUAUUGGAAUUUAGGAUGAAAAACUUGCCAUGAUAAAUGCAUAAAAGGAUAGAAUCAAACCAGAUCGCGUGGUAGUGUUGCACGGUAGGGUGGCAUUAGUGUCGCAUGGUGGUGUUGCGCACCAAAAGUAGAUUGCAUCGUGGUGGAGCUGCUAUCGCGCGAUGAAGGCAAAUCAUGUUGUGGUGGAGUUGCUAUCGCGCGGUGAAGUAAAAUUGCAUAGUGGUGGAGCUACUGCCGUGCGACGAAGGCAGAUCGCGUCGUGGUGGAGCUACUAUAAUGGGGCAUAGCAGUGUGGAGUUGGUAUCGUUUAUUAAAGCACAUAUAUAGUGUUUAGUUUCUAGAGUAGGG
Molecule: long non-coding RNA, 3909 nt
Filed under: Citrus maxima (pomelo)
Lineage: Eukaryota; Viridiplantae; Streptophyta; Magnoliopsida; Sapindales; Rutaceae
Description: long non-coding RNA (CMAX_LNC002269)
Source: RNAcentral